Alosa sapidissima (American shad) is the source of this 1109-nucleotide long non-coding RNA. RefSeq lists it as uncharacterized. The transcript is spliced from 2 exons. The record is from RefSeq and is a predicted model, not a curated record. NCBI's taxonomy places the organism in Eukaryota, Metazoa, Chordata, Actinopteri, Clupeiformes, Clupeidae.
CUGACAUUCAACUGUAAAUACAAUCUCUUAUAACAACCAUACUCUAAAGGAAAAUUCUCUCCUUCCAAAGAACCUGUUCUCAGUCAUCCGUGGCAAAGGUGGCCACCGAUUUAACCCUUCAGCUAGAGAAUUUGCAGCAUCACUGAAAAGUGCCUCUAUAGCAGAGCUUUCAAAUAACAUAGGAACCAACUGCCUGUCUGAUAAUGGCUCCCUCCUGCUUAACAGCACUAGGCCAACAACAACCCACUCUGGCAAUGCCCAAAUGCCAACACCUCAGUAUGUUCCAGAUGAUGGCAUCAAUGAACUGGACACUGAACUGGACACUGAGCUUCUUGAACUGAUAUCAGAGGACCAGAAUAGGCUAAAUGACCUAGAGGAGGAGGUGCUGACAUACAUUUGUGGGUGGCUAGUAAGGGAAAUCAAGGGGGACCCUAUAAUAUCAGCAUGCCCUGAAUGUGAUGCGCUGCUAGUCUAUGACAGUAAAGUUGAACACAACUACAGUGUACCCAGCAGCAACUCAUCCACUUUUCUAAAAAAAAAAAGAUAUUCUGACACUGCCAAUUUAAUUGAGCCCUCAGCUAUUUUGAGAAAGAUUUUGACCAAAUUAGAGGAGAAUCUUGCACCCCUCAUCAAGUCCCAUUGGACCGAUGAGGGGCUGUGCAAGACAAUUACAGAAAAAAUACUAAAAACCGAUAUAUUCAAUACGAUAAUUGAGCGACACCCUGACCACGCAUUUCCCAUAAGGGACAAAUUAUUAAAAAAAUAUGUCAUGUGCAGGAUUGGGGCAGAAAUCCGAGGAGAAAAUCGCCGCAUCGUGGAGGACGCACAGCGAAUCUGGAGAAAAACAAAAUGUUUCACUAGCUAGCUAGCAGCUAGACUGAUAAUAAUAAUUGGCAGAGUCCACCUGGUUCCUUUUCUCAUGUGGUCGUAGAAGCCACCCUGAUCCGAGUCGUGCUGGAUAAGGCAGACAACAGGGUUAUGUUAUAAUCUAAAUAGUUUUUUUUUUUUUCGAGCUACUUUCUCAUGGUUUGCUGAGAUGUUCUGUAUGAUUGAUUUCAUGAAGCAUGAGCUUAAAAGCUAGGCUGGUAAUAAAAUGAAAUGCACCACUA